Molecule: long non-coding RNA, 1171 nt
Organism: Cucumis melo (muskmelon)
Lineage: Eukaryota; Viridiplantae; Streptophyta; Magnoliopsida; Cucurbitales; Cucurbitaceae
Exons: 3
Source: RefSeq, a predicted model, not a curated record
UCUUGGCCAAACCACGUAAAAUUUCUUGUGUUUCUUCUUCUUCGUCUCUUUAUCAUCCAAUGCAAGAUCAAGAUUCUCCAUUAAAAGCCUCAUAGUGCUUAAAUGAAUUUGGGUUGGAUUAGGAAGAUUUUUUUGGAUCAACCGAAUGUAUGAGUUUGUCAAAUUGACAACUCAAAUAAUACCUAAUAAAAUCUUCAACCCAACCCUCAAAAUUCGGGUUGGGUUUGGUUAGUAGGUUAUUUAUUUUCAUUUGUUUAAAGUAUAUUAUUUAUUAACUUAAAAUGCUUAAAUUUGUCUAUAACACAUUUUAAUAACUAAAAUUUUAUUAAAUUCAAAUGAAGCUCAAAUGUUAAAUAUUAAAAUUCUAUUACAAACUUAAAAAAUUCUUCAUAAUGAUAGGUAUGAAUUAUAAUAUUUACAAGUUUUAAUAUAUAUUUUAAUAAUAUUAGAAAUUCAAGUUGGGUUUGGUCAAUUUUUUUUUUUGUGUUGGAUAAAAAAAAAAACCUCAUCAAUUUCUCUCACUCUCUUCUUAUGCUUUGACAUCAGUUCUUGGAAAAAAAUAAUUCUCUUUCUUUGUAAAAGUUAUUUUGAGACUUGUGAGAAGGUAAGAAAAUUACAUUUUUACUCUUUAGUUUUCUUUCUCCUUUAGACUCCUUUGCAAGUUGUCAAAUUUCUCUUUAUUCAUUGUAUUUUCUUUUGUUUUUGUGCAUGUUCAUCCAUAGAGAAAGGGAGAAAGAAAAUAGGGUUUCAAAGGGGUUUCUUGACGGAAGAUGAAGGGAUGAGAAAAGUGAACAAGAUGGUGUUUAUAGUGGUUCAGCUCAUAGCCUACAUCCACUCUUCAAAGUGAGUUUAAGGAAACUUGAUGAACAGCCUGAGUGGUUGAAGGGAAGCAAGCUUCGAGACUAUCAGCUUGAGGGUUUGAAUUUUCUUGUUAAAAGAAUGAUUGAAGUCAUCAGAUUGAAAGCUAAGCGAUUGUGUAGAUAGUCAGGUGAUCGUUGAAGGUUGAAGAUUGAGAAGGCAUUUAGGAUUUCUUAUUUAAGUCUUAUAUUAGGAUAUUGUUUCAUGUACUAUUGUAGAAUGUAUAUAUAAACACAAUAUUAAAUUUUCAUUUUGUGUAUACAAAUCUAAAAGAUAAAUAUUAUAGUUUCUAAAAUAAUAUUAAUUUUAUUAA